Molecule: ribosomal RNA, 497 nt
Filed under: uncultured bacterium
Lineage: Bacteria
Description: partial 16S ribosomal RNA
Rfam family: Bacterial small subunit ribosomal RNA
Source: RNAcentral
GAUGAACGCUGGCGGCGUGCCUAAUACAUGCAAGUCGAGCGAAUAGACGAGGAGCUUGCUCCUCUGACGUUAGCGGCGGACGGGUGAGAAACACGUGGAUAACCUACCUAUAAGACUGGGAUAACUUCGGGAAACCGGAGCUAAUACCGGAUAACAUGUUGAACCGCAUGGUUCAACAGUGAAAGACGGUCUUGCUGUCACUUAUAGAUGGAUCCGCGCCGCAUUAGCUAGUUGGUAAGGUAACGGCUUACCAAGGCAACGAUGCGUAGCCGACCUGAGAGGGUGAACGGCCACACUGGAACUGAGACACGGUCCAGACUCCUACGGGAGGCAGCAGUAGGGAAUCUUCCGCAAUGGGCGAAAGCCUGACGGAGCAACGCCGCGUGAGUGAAGAAGGUCUUCGGAUCGUAAAACUCUGUUAUUAGGGAAGAACAAAUGUGUAAGUAACUAUGCACGUCUUGACGGUACCUAAUCAGAAAGCCACGGCUAACUACGUG